Oncorhynchus tshawytscha (Chinook salmon) is the source of this 1513-nucleotide long non-coding RNA. The record is from Ensembl. Lineage: Eukaryota; Metazoa; Chordata; Actinopteri; Salmoniformes; Salmonidae.
CAGGAAACUGCAAUCGUUGAUAUGGUCAUCAGAAACAAUGGCAUAAAACUCACAGAGAUUCGGGACAGAGUGUUGGCAGACAACAUUACAUUUGGAAAUAUUCACAACGUAAGCAUAACAACUAUUUCUAGAGUCCUGAAACAACAUCAAGUCAGGAUGAAGCAGUUGUACACUGUCCCCUUUGAGAGGAACUCUGAAUGAGUCAAGCAACUCAGGAACCAAUAUGUCCAGAGAGUCAUGGAGAUUGAAGCCAGGCAAACACCCCACAUAUUCAUCUUUGUGGAUGAGGCUGGUUUCAACAUGGCCAAAACACGGCAGCGAGGAAGGAAUGUAUUGGGAAAAGAGCCACAGUGGAUGUCCCGGGCCAGAGGGGUGCCAACAUCACAAUGUGUGCAGCAAAAUCCUCUGAUCGAUUGCUGUUACACAAAUUGAGCCAUACAACACUGUUGUCAUUCAUUCCUGGAUGACCUCCAUGGAAGGGUUGGAAAGGGUUGCAGUGAAUCGGCCAAUGUUUGGAAUUGUGUGGGACAAUGUAACAUUUCACCACUCCCAUGCAGUCGCAGAGUGGUUUGCACCCAUCCCAGGAUGGUGUCACUUUUCCUCCCACGUUACUCUCCAUUCUUCAACCCCAUAGAGGAAUUAUUUUCCUCAUGGAGGUGGAAGGUUUAUGACCUAUAUCUGCAGAAGAUUGCACUUAAUGGACCAGGCUUGCCAAAAUAUUCUUUCCUAGGUGUAUUGCCCAAGAUGUGGAUGUGGAUGAGAACCUGUGGCCAAAUGCAGAAGACAAGGUUGACCAGCAUUGCUACUGUAUCUGUAUUGGUAGAUUGUGUAUAUACAAAUGUUUGUAUUUUGGAAUCACUGAAUGCAAAAAAAUGACAAACAUAUUGAAGCAUAUUGCAUGAUGUCUGAUUAAUUCCUGUAACAUAUACUGCAGUGAAUUCUAUACAGUAGAGAGGCGUCAUUCUUGUCAUUUUGCCAAAGAAAACAUUGUGAAAUCUUCCUGUUGUUAGUGUUUUUUAGGUAGUUGUUUUAUGAGUGACAAAGAGUACUUGUUGGGUGACAACCUUUGCUAGUGUUAUGGAAGAAUGAGACAAUUUGAGACAUGUAUGCAUUUUGGAUGUGAAAUGAACUGCUGUGCCAAGCUGAAAGUUGGUUAAGAGAACUGUGUGAAGUGUUUCGAAAAAGUGACCGAAGUAUUGGGAAAUGGGUCCUAGCGAUUGUAAAAAACUGUAAACAGCAUGGUCAUUAAACAGGUGCACCUUGUGCUGGGUACAAUAAAAGGCCACUCUAAAAUGUGCAGUUUUGUCACACAACACAAUGCCACAGAUGUCUCAAGUUUUGAGGGAGCAUGCAAUUGGCAUACUGACUGAAGGAAUGUCCACCAGAGCUGUUGCUAGAUAAUUUAAUGUUAAUUUCUCUACCAUAAGCCACCUCCAAUGUUGUUUUUGGAGAAUUUGGCAGUACGUCCAACCGGCCUUACAACCGUAGAUCACGUGUAACCACGCCAGCCCAG